GAUGAACGCUAGCGACAGGCCUAACACAUGCAAGUCGAGGGGCAGCACGGUGUAGCAAUACACGGGUGGCGACCGGCGCACGGGUGAGUAACGCGUAUGCAACCUGCCUACUACAAGGGGAUAACCCGUUGAAAGACGGACUAAUACCCUAUAACACAGGGAAUCCGCAUGGAUAUAUUUGUUAAAGAUUUAUCGGUAGUAGAUGGGCAUGCGUUCCAUUAGCUUGUUGGUGAGGUAACGGCUCACCAAGGCAACGAUGGAUAGGGGAACUGAGAGGUUGAUCCCCCACACUGGAACUGAGACACGGUCCAGACUCCUACGGGAGGCAGCAGUGAGGAAUAUUGGUCAAUGGACGAGAGUCUGAACCAGCCAAGUCGCGUGAAGGAAGACGGCCCUACGGGUUGUAAACUUCUUUUGUAAGGGAAUAAAUAGUCUUACGCGCUAAGACGUUGCAGGUACCUUACGAAUAAGGAUCGGCUAACUCCGUGCCAGCAGCCGCGGUAA
This 504-nucleotide ribosomal RNA is filed under the name uncultured bacterium. Its description in RNAcentral is "partial 16S ribosomal RNA". It matches the Rfam family "Bacterial small subunit ribosomal RNA", at positions 28 to 523 of the family's 1533-position model. The record is from RNAcentral.